RNAcentral lists this long non-coding RNA (456 nucleotides) under Homo sapiens (human). RNAcentral describes it as "non-protein coding lnc-PIEZO2-18:4". The record is from RNAcentral. Lineage: Eukaryota; Metazoa; Chordata; Mammalia; Primates; Hominidae.
ACAGGCCUCCCCUGGGCCGGCGGAGCCGCUCUCACCUUCCACACUUCGCCGCCCUCCUGCGCUCAGGCAGCAUUCUGGACACGGGUUGUGAACCAAGAGUACAUCACACUCCCCUACCACACUCCCUCCAUCCUGCCUUCUGCUCCUACCACAUCAUCUGAAAAUUUUGGGGGUCUGUGGACCAGAAGAUGGAUCUCAUAUUUCCAGUUGUCUGUCGCUUUUGUUGAAGUUACCUAUCAAACAUAUACAACUGGUUUAGUAGGAAAACCAUAUUAAAUAAUAUGCAGUACAUCUACUAUGAGAAUGAAUUGCUGAAUGAUGUUGUAAGAAUAAUAAGAAGUGCCUCUACCUAAGUAAAACUACAAAGCAACGUUUUAAGAAUGGUAACAACCCGGGACUAACCAUACUCUUGUCGUUGCUCCGUCACAGACAAGAACUUAAUCAGGAAUGUUGUAG